Molecule: transfer RNA, 87 nt
Filed under: Mesomycoplasma molare
Lineage: Bacteria; Bacillati; Mycoplasmatota; Mycoplasmoidales; Metamycoplasmataceae
Description: tRNA-Leu
Rfam family: tRNA
About the family: Transfer RNA (tRNA) molecules are approximately 80 nucleotides in length. Their secondary structure includes four short double-helical elements and three loops (D, anti-codon, and T loops).
Source: RNAcentral
GCUCGAGUGGCGGAAUAGGUAGACGCAAGGGACUUAAAAUCCCUCGGUAGCAAUACCGUGCUGGUUCAAGUCCAGUCUCGAGCACCA